Molecule: long non-coding RNA, 9570 nt
Filed under: Triticum aestivum (bread wheat)
Lineage: Eukaryota; Viridiplantae; Streptophyta; Magnoliopsida; Poales; Poaceae
Description: long non-coding RNA (TAES_LNC005125)
Source: RNAcentral
AUUUUUCCCUUUGUUGGUUUUUUCUGUAAACCCGGUCAGCGUGGCACGUUUGUGAGAAGGAGGUCAUGGGAUGGCGCGAUCAAUCCAGAUCACGACGGGCUGGCCGGGGUUUGUUAGCUAGGCUUUCGGUUGUACCAGGAAUAAGGGGAAAAAGGAAUGAAACAGAAAACGCUGCGCUGUUAGCUGCGGCACAAAAAGACUUUCCUCUCUCUCGCGUGCGUGUGUUCUUCAGCUCAGGUUCUUGGCUCGAUCGGCUAUUCGGCAACGACAAUUGGCAUCAGAGCCAUGGUGUUCGAUCCACUCUCCGGUGGCCGGCGGUGUCCGAUCCGCGGCGAUCCAUGUCGGAUAGCGAUUCAGAGAAGGGCAAGGCCGGGAAGAAGGACGGAACCAAGUCGCCGCCGAGCGCAGCGCCUGUGGCGCGGCUGACCACCGGCGGCAGCGGCGAGUACCACAUGGUGGAGCGCAUCAUGCGAGAGGAGUCGGGGGCGUCCAUGAUGCUCACGUGCACGAACUAUCAGGAGUGGGCACUCGUGAUGCAAGUCAAGCUGCAGGUCGCCCGCGUCUGGUCCGCGGUGACCGCCGCCGCCGCCGACGAGAAUGACGACCGGCGCGCGCUGCAGAUUAUCCUCACCGGCGUCCCGCCGGAGAUGCUGCGUGUGCUGGCCGCGAAGGACACGGCGAAGAAGGCAUGGGAGACCAUCAAGACCAUGCGGAUGGGCAGCGAGCGCGCCCGCGAGGCCAAGGCACAGGUGCGCCGGCGGGAGUUCGAGGAUCUCUGUUUCAAGGACGGGGAGUCCAUCGAGGACUUCAGGCUGCGGCUCUCCGUCCUUGUUGCCGAUCUGGAGCUGUACGGCGACCCCGUCAUCGAGCACAAGGCGGUCCAGAAGUUCCUCCGCGUGGUGCCGCGGCGGUACCGCCCAAUGGCCAUGGCGAUCGAGUCUUUGAUCGAUCUGAAGACCAUGUCCAUUGAAGAACUCGUCGGACGCCUCUCUGCCUGUGAGGAUAAUUAUGAUCUUGACAACACCACGCAGGCCGGUGGUCGCCUCCUCCUCACCCGUGAGGAGUGGCUUGCCCGAGAGAGACAGGGCGGCGGCAGCGGGUCGUCAUCCGGUGUGGGCGGCGACAAAAACAAGUCGCUGGCCAAGCCCAAACCUCAGGGCGGCGGCAAGACCGCGCCGGCCAGCACGGGCACGGGCGGCUCCGGUGGCUCCGACGGGAAGAAAAAGGGCAAGUGUUACUACUGCAAGAAGUCAGGACACUGGAAAAAGGACUGCCGAACUAGGAUCAAGGAUGAAGAUGAACAGGGGAAACAAGGGCAGGCACAUCUUGUCCGUCAGGUGGACGAGCACAAUGAGGGGCUAAUGAUGGUCGUGGUCUCCACUUGUGUCACCACCAGUAAAGUUGCACCCCAGCAAGUUCAUCUGAAUGAGGAGAAAGUACGUCCUGAGAUCUCGCCGCCUGGCGUCUGGUAUUUUGAUACUGGGGCAACUAGCCAUAUGACAUGAGAGAGAUGCAUGUUUGCAACACUCGAUGAGACCGUGCAGGGCACAGUCAAAUUUGGAGAUGGCUCGCAUGUUGCAAUCUGUGGCAGGGGAUCAGUUGUAUUCAGAGGACAUUCAGGAAAGCAAAGGGCUCUGUCGGAGGUGUACUUCAUACCAUCUCUUCGUAGUAACAUAAUCUCUGUCGAACAGCUGGAUGAAGGAGGGUGCAAGAUUCAGAUAGGAGAGGGGCUAAUGACAAUUCUUGAUGCAGGCCGGGGCAUGCUAGCUCGUGUUCGCCGCUCAAGCUGUCGCCUCUACACAGCAGUACUCACAAUUGACACACCGGCUUGCUUACUGUCUCAAGGGGAGGACCAAACCUGGCGAUGGCAUGCGAGGAUGGGACAUCUUCAUUUCCGUGCUCUCAAGACCAUGUCCAGCAAGCAGAUGGUGAGAGGAAUGCCACCCAUCGAUCAUGUGCAGGAAUAUUGCGAUGGUUGUGCCCUUGGCAAGCAACACAGGGCUCCUUUUCCUCAGGUUGCGACAUACCAAGCUGAGAAAGGGCUCGAGCUUGUCCACACGGAUCUGUGUGGCCCAAUCACGCCAACAACACCAGGUGGCAGCAAGUAUUUUCUUCUGGUAGUUGACGAUUACAGUCGAUACAUGUGGCUCGAGCUCCUCAAGUCAAAAGACGAAGCGUUUGAUCAUUUCAGAAAAGUUCAGAUCAUGGCUGAGGCAGAAGGGAAGUGCAAGCUUCAUGCAUUCUGUUCGGAUAGAGGGGGUGUAACACCCCGGAUGUGAUUUACCCAAUAUGUACUCCAACUCUUGCCGUUUCCGGCCUUAAGUUAUUUUAUUUUCUCGGGUUCGGGUUUUUGUCUCCGUGUGUUGUUCUCGUUGUCAUGCAUCUAAUAUCAUGUCAUCAUGUGCAUUGCAUUUGCAUACGUGUUCAUCUCAUGCAUUCAAGCAUUUUCCCUGUUGUCCGUUUUGCAUUCCGGCGCUUCGUUCUCCUCUGGUGGUCAUUUCUACCUUUAUUUUGUGUGUGGGGAUUAAACAUUUCCGGAUUGGACCUGGACUUGCCAAGCGGCCUUGGUUUACUACCGGUAGACCGCCUGUCAAGUUUCGUGUCAUUUGGACUUCGUUUGAUACUCCAACGGUUAACCGAGGGACCGAAAAGGCCUCGUGUGUGUUGCAGCCCAACACCCCUCCAAUUUGGCCCAAAACCCACCAAAACCCUCUCCAUCAUCUAGAGCGUUCGAUCACGAUCGCGUGGCCACAAACCGCACCUCAUUUGGACUCUCCUAGCUCCCUCUAUGCCUAUAUAAAGACCCCCUCCGAAAAGUCUCGUUCCCCUCUCCUCAAACCCUAAAAAUCCCCGCCGCCGCCGGACAUGUCCGUGUCCUAGCGGACGAAAUUCCGCCGCCGCGCCCGGCCUGUCAGGGAGCGCCACGUGUCCCGCCGGGGGCUCCCGCCGCGCCGGCUCGCUCGGCCCAGGGAGGGCCCCCGCGAGCCCGCGCCUNNNNNNNNNNNNNNNNNNNNNNNNNNNNNNNNNNNNNNNNNNNNNNNNNNNNNNNNNNNNNNNNNNNNNNNNNNNNNNNNNNNNNNNNNNNNNNNNNNNNNNNNNNNNNNNNNNNNNNNNNNNNNNNNNNNNNNNNNNNNNNNNNNNNNNNNNNNNNNNNNNNNNNNNNNNNNNNNNNNNNNNNNNNNNNNNNNNNNNNNNNNNNNNNNNNNNNNNNNNNNNNNNNNNNNNNNNNNNNNNNNNNNNNNNNNNNNNNNNNNNNNNNNNNNNNNNNNNNNNNNNNNNNNNNNNNNNNNNNNNNNNNNNNNNNNNNNNNNNNNNNNNNNNNNNNNNNNNNNNNNNNNNNNNNNNNNNNNNNNNNNNNNNNNNNNNNNNNNNNNNNNNNNNNNNNNNNNNNNNNNNNNNNNNNNNNNNNNNNNNNNNNNNNNNNNGCCGUGCCGCCUCCGCAGUGCCGCCCCACUCCGACGCCCUUCGUCCUCUCCUCGCCGGUGCCAAGUUCAGCUCCGGCCGGAUCCGGCGACACCAACUCCGGCGAGCUACAGUACCCUGGCGAACCUCGUAAUCCAUGCCGUCCGGAUCUGGAUCUAGAUCCCGUUUGGGUUGACUUUCUCCCGAAACCCUAGUUCAUAUUGCCAUGUUCAUCAUGCCGUAACUCCUCAUCCGUAGCUCCGUUUUGGGCAUAUAGAAUAUAAAAAUGUUCACCUCAGAGAGUACAUCAUUUCAUCUCAUUGCGUCAUUUUCAUUUGAGUUCAUCUUGAUGCCCGAAAUGCUGUUAGAAGAGGGCUACUUGAGAUAAUUUUCAGAUCUGCUGCUCCAUUUAGAUAUUUGUCAUUUUUUCCAUGAUUAUUGUGUGCAUGAUAUGCCCAUGAGCUCUACAUAUGUUUUGUUAAGGGUUUUGCCAUCUUUCCAUAGGUGCAACCCAUGUAUUUUUGUGAUGUGUGUGGUGGCUAGCACAAGCUUGCAAAGUGAGGCACUUGGUAAUGCUGAUUUCAGGGACUUAGCAUUUCCACUAAGUCCUUGACCUGUGUAUCUCAUAUGGCCAUAUGUUCAUGUUGUUUCCUAGUGAUCCGUGCCUCUUUUGAGGAUGAUCAGUAAGGGUGUUUUGUUAAUCUUGUAGUGCUAUAUCCAUCCAUGUCUUUGUUUGCAAUUAUGGAGCACCCUAGCUUGAGUCAAUCGAGCUCUACUUUUGUCAUUUUGUGAAUCUGGGCAGAUUGUCUACUUGUUAGCGAUUUUGCCGAUGAUGUUGUAGUUGAUCCGUGCAUGCUAUGCUAUUGUUCUUGCCAUGUAUAGCUUGCAUUUUGUGUAUUCUUGAUGGGUGUAUGCUUAGAUGGUCAUGACUUGCUCCGUAGUGAGUGCAUCGAGCUCGUAAACAUGCCUACUUGAUAUCUGUUUCAGCAUGCUCCAGUUUUCACCAAGUCUGUGAUCUGAUUAUGUUUUUGCCAUGUUCACAUGCUUGCAAUUGUAUUUUCUGAUCCCUUUUGGCUCAAGGUCACUAAGGGACUUUUGUUAAGCUCUUUGAAUAGCUCCAUGCCAUGCUUUACUUUGCCAUGUUCAGGUCCUGUAGAAUGUAGUUUUGUUGCUCCGAAGAGUGCUAUAUGAUCUGAAAUUCCAGACAAGUGUUAAUUUCACUAAGUCUGAAUCUGUUUGUCAAAUGCAUUUUUUCCAUGCUUGUUUGAACCUGUUAAUGGAUGAUUUGGCCGUAGCUUAGUGCUAGACUUUUGUUAAGCAUCUUGAAUGGAUUUCUGCCAUGUAUUUUGUUGUCAUGUUUGGGUGCUGUGGCAUGUUCAUCUCGUUGCAUUUAGAUGGCUACUUGCUGUAAAUCGCAGAACGUGGUCAUAUUUGAAUUGCUUGUCAUUUCCAAACCGUAGCUCCGAUUCCAGUGUUCUUUAUAUCGUUUUCAAGCGAUUUCAUCUCAUCUUUCCAGUGGCACACUUGUAUUUCCAAGUUGAGGCCAGGUUCAUGUAUUCCUUGUAACAUCUUGCAUAUGCAUCCUGCAUCGCAUCCCGCAUAGCAUAUCAUCCUUGCAUCAUAUUGUUUGAGCUUUGCACAUGGUUGAUUGUGUCCUUGUUGCUUGUUUGUCUUGUUUGGGUAGAGCCGGGAGACGAGUUCGCUAACGAGGAGCCCAUUGAGUUUGCUUUCGAGGAUCCAGUCAACUCUGACAACUUUGCAGGCAAGAUGAUCAUACCCUCGAAAUCACUACUAUCUUUGCUUUGCUAGAUGCUCGCUGUUUUGCUAUGCCAAUGCUACGAUGCCUACCACUUGUUUUCAUGCCUCCCAAAUUGCCAUGUUCAGCCUCUAACCCACCAUGUCCUAGCAAACCGUUGAUUGACUAUGUUACCGCUUUGCUCAGCCCCUCUUAUAGCAUUGCUAGUUGCAGGUGAAGAUUGGAGACCGUUCCUUGUUGGAACAUUAUUUACUUGUUGGGCUAUCAUUAUAUUAUCUUGUUAUCUUAAUGCAUCUAUAUACUUGGUAAAGGGUGGAAGGCUCGGCCUCUCGCCUAGUGUUUUGUUCCACUCUUGCCGCCCUAGUUUCCGUCAUAUCGGUGUUAUGUUCCCGGAUUUUGCGUUCCUUACGCGGUUGGGUGAUAAUGGGAACCCCUUGAUAGUUCGCCUUGAUUAAAGCUUUUCCAGCAAUGCCCAACCUUGGUUUUACCAUUUGCCACCUAGCCUUUUUUUCCCUUGGGUUUCCGGAGUCCGAGGGUCAUCUUAUUUAGCCCCCCCGGACCAGUGUUCCUCUGAGUGUUGGUCCAACCGAGCGAUGUCCGGGGCUACCAGGGGCAACUCUGGGCUGGCCUACCCGACGUCUUGCUCAUCCGGUGUGCCCUGAGAACGAGAUAUGUGCAGCUCCUAUCGGGAUUUGUCGGCGCAUCUGGGUGGUGUUGCUGGAGUUGUUUUAACCUAUCGAAGUGUCUUGAAGAACCGGGAUACCGAGUCUGAUCGGAACGUCUCGGGAGGAGGUCUAUUCCUUCGUUGACCGUGAGAGCUUGUCAUGGGCUAAGUUGGGACUCCCCUGCAGGGAUUUGAACUUUUGAAAGCCGUGCCCGCGGUUAUGGGUAGAUGGGAAUUUGUUAAUGUCCGGUUGUAGAAAACUUGAACCUUAACUUAAUUAAAAUGAAUCAACAGUGUGAGUUACCGUGAUGGUCUCUUCUCGGCGGAGUCCGGGAAGUGAACACGGUGUUGGAGUAAUGCUUGCGCAGGUUGUUCUCUAGUUUCUCGCUCGCGCUUUGCCUCCUCUUCUCGCUCUAUUUUGCGAACAGGAUAGCCACCAUAUAUGCUAGUCGCUUGCUGCAGCUCCACAUAUUUACCUUGCCUUUCCUAUUAAGCUUAAAUAGUCUUGAUCGCGAGGGUGCGAGAUUGCUGAGUCCCUGUGGCUCACAGAUUACUAUUAAACCAGAUGCAGGGCCUGAUGAUUCCGCUCCAGGGGACGCGCUUGAGCUCAAGUGGGAGUUCGACGAGGACUCUCAACGAUACUACGUGUCUUUCCCUGAUGAUCAGUAGUGGUGCCCAGUUGGGGGUGAUCGGGACCGUGUCGCAUGUUGGGUUAUCUUUUAUUUUGGCGCCGUAGUCGGGCCAUGAGUGUUUGGAUGAUGUAAUGUUAUUUAUGCACUUUGAUUGACGUGGCGAGUGUAAGCCAACUAUGUUAUCUCCUCUUUUAUUAUCUAUAUUAUUACAUGGGAUGUUGUGAAGAUUGACUAACUUGCGACAUAUGCCUUCAAUGCGAUUAUGCCUCUAAGUCGUGCCUCGACACGUGGGAGAUAUAGUCGCAUCGAGGGUGUGACAGGGGGUGAGUUCAACUCCGGUGAAUUCAAGGAGUACUGUGAAGGCAUUGGCGUCAAGCAUUACACCACAACACCAUACUCACCACAACAAAAUGGGGUGGUCGACAGAAGAAAUCAAACUGUGGUUGAGAUGGCGCGGUGCUUGCUGAAGAGCAUGGGUGUGCUGUCAUACUUCUGGACGGAGGCUGUUAAGACAGCCGUUUAUCUGCUGAACAGGGCGCCCACCAGAAGCUUGGAGGGUGUCACUCCCUACGAAGCUUGGCAUGGUCGCAAGCCGAGUGUACAACACCUGCAAACCUUCGGUUGCACUGCUCACGUGAAGAAGAACGGGCCCGACAUCACCAAGUUCUCAGAUCGCUCAAUUCCGAUGACCUUUGUUGGUUAUGAAGAAGGCUCCAAAGCCUACCGUGUCUAUGACCCAGUGUCGAAAAAAGUUCAGGUAACGCGUGAUGUGUUUUUUUGAAGAAAAUAGGCCUUGGUCAUGGAGCUCGUCAGGUGCGCCCUCACCAGCUGCAGCACCCGCAUCAUCCUCAACUUUCACCGUGGUUUACACCACGGACCGCGGGGUGCACGAGCUGGACACGGGGGGAGCCGCUGCAUGUAUCACGCGGGCCGAGGAGCAGGAACCCUCUACAUCAACACCUGGGCCUGCAACUCCCGCGGCUGGCACGCCACGCACUGAAUCGUGUUCGCCGGCGAUCGACGGAGCGAUCCGCUGGGCCACGCCUCCCUCGCAUGACGAGGAGGGCCGGGACACGGACACUGGACCUCUUCGCUACCGGCGCCUCUCCUGUAUCCUUGAUGAGACCGAGGGGGAGGCCGUGUGUGAGGCGAUGGAGCGCUGUCUUCUCAGCGCCGAGGAGCCCUCUGGCAUUGACGAUGCGUUGGGCGACCCAGCAUGGAAGAAAGCCAUGGACGACGAGAUGCAGUGUAUCGUCGACAACACCACUUGGGAACUAAGCUCACUGCCGCGGGGUCAUCAACCGAUUGGUUUGAAGUGGGUCUACAAAGUGAAACGGGAUCCGGCGGGCAAUGUUAUCAAACACAAAGCUCGGCUGGUUGCUCGAGGUUUUUCACAGCGCCAAGGGGUGGAUUAUGAUGAGGUAUUUGCUCCAGUGGUGCGGAUGGAAACAAUGCGUCUUCUACUUGCUCUUGCUGCUCAUCACGGAUGGGAAGUCCAUCAUAUGGACGUGAAGUCGGCCUUUCUCAAUGGCGAUCUCAGUGAAGAGGUGUAUGUGGCCCAGCCGCCGGGAUAUGUGGUUGAUGGCCAAGAGCAGAAGGUACUGCGGCUGAAAAAGGCCUUGUAUGGCCUGAAGCAGGCUCCACGUGCUUGGUAUUCGAAGCUAGAUAAGACGUUGUUGAACCUCAAGUUUGUCCGGAGCCCACUGGAGCAUGCCGUCUACCGGCGAGGCGACGCCCAGUCCUAUCUGUUAGUGGGUGUCUAUGUAGAUGAUCUGAUCAUCACGGGAACGGACAUGGCUGCAAUCUUUGAAUUUAAGGCGCAGAUGCAACAUGUUUUCAAGAUGAGUGAUCUUGGCCCCCUCAGCUAUUAUCCGGGCAUUGAAGUGGUACAAGGGAAGGGGGAGAUCACACUUUGUCAGCAAGCAUAUGCAGGAAAGAUCCUUGAGCAGGCAGGAAUGAGCGACUGCAAUAGUUGUCAUACUCCCAUGGAAUGCAGACUGAAACUCAAGAAGGAUGAUGGUGCAAAGGCCGUUGAUGCAACUCUGUAUCGCAGCAUAAUUGGAAGUCUUCGGUACCUCGUACACACUCGUCCUGACAUUGCUCAUUCUGUGGGGAUUGUGAGUCGGUUCAUGAAGAAUCCGAGCUCAAACCAUUGGGCGGCAGUCAAGCAAAUCCUGCGCUACAUUCAAAGGACGAGGCAUUAUGGCUGUCGUUACACGCGUGGUGGGACUGCAACUCUGCUCGGGUACAGUGAUAGCGACCACACCGGCGACAUAAGCGACCGCAAGAGCACAUCGGGUCAGGUCUUCUUCCUUGGAGACAAUCCGAUCAGCUGGGCUUCACAGAAGCAGAAAAUUGUGGCAAUUAGCUCCUGUGAAGCAGACUACGUAGCAGCAGUAGCAACCCAACAAGGGAUCUGGUUGAGCCAUCUCCUAGGCGAGAUGCAAGGCCAGGAAGCAACCAAGUUCAGACUGUUGGUGGACAACAAAUCAGCCAUUGCACUAGCCAAAAAUCCAGUUCAUCAUGAUCGAAGUAAGCACAUAGAUGUGAAGUUCCACUUCAUCCGUGAUAGCAUGGAAACUGGGCAAGUGGAACUUGAUUAUGUGCGGACACAAGAGCAGCUGGCAGAUGUUCUGAUGAAAUCUCUUGGAAGGGUUCAGUUCACUGAAAUGCGUCGAAGGUUGGGCAUUAUGGAGAUCAGUGGACGUCAAGCUUAGGGGGAGAUAUGUUAGAAUAAGCUCUCCGUCCGGCCGCUAGGGCCAGUUUCUGUUUUAAAUUUUGCACGCAUGCACUGAUGUUAGUAUGCAGCAUGUACGUAGUUGGGAUGUGGUCUAAGCACGAUCUCAUUUUUCCCUUUGUUGGUUUUUCCUGUAAACCCGGUCAGCGUGGCACGUUUGUGAGAAGGAGGUCGUGGGAUGGCGCGAUCAAUCCGGAUCACGACGGGCUGGCCGGGGUUUGUUAGCUAGGCUUUCGGUUGUACCAGGAAUAAGGGGAAAAAGGAAUGAAACAGAAAACGCUGCGCUGUUAGCUGCGGCACAAAAAGACUUUCCUCUCUCUCGCGUGCGUGUGUUCUUCAGCUCAGGUUCUUGGCUCGAUCGGCUAUUCGGCAACGACAC